Molecule: ribosomal RNA, 397 nt
Filed under: uncultured bacterium
Lineage: Bacteria
Description: partial 16S ribosomal RNA
Rfam family: Bacterial small subunit ribosomal RNA
Source: RNAcentral
AUACGUAGGUGGCAAGCGUUGUCCGGAAUUAUUGGGCGUAAAGCGCGCGCAGGCGGCCCUUUAAGUCUGAUGUGAAAGCCCACGGCUCAACCGUGGAGGGUCAUUGGAAACUGGGGGACUUGAGUGCAGAAGAGGAAAGUGGAAUUCCAAGCGUAGCGGUGAAAUGCGUAGAGAUUUGGAGGAACACCAGUGGCGAAGGCGACUUUCUGGUCUGUAACUGACGCUGAGGCGCGAAAGCGUGGGGAGCAAACAGGAUUAGAUACCCUGGUAGUCCACGCCGUAAACGAUGAGUGCUAAGUGUUAGGGGGUUUCCGCCCCUUAGUGCUGCAGCUAACGCAUUAAGCACUCCGCCUGGGGAGUACGGUCGCAAGACUGAAACUCAAAUGAAUUGACGGGG